RNAcentral lists this ribosomal RNA (548 nucleotides) under uncultured archaeon. RNAcentral describes it as "bacterial SSU rRNA". It matches the Rfam family "Archaeal small subunit ribosomal RNA", at positions 326 to 879 of the family's 1478-position model. The record is from RNAcentral.
CGGGGUGCCCAGGCGCGAAAACUUUGCAAUGCGGGAAACCGUGACAAGGGAACUCUGAGUGCCCGUUAAAUCGGGCUGUCCAUCGGUUUAAAUAACCGGUGAAGAAAGGGCCGGGCAAGACCGGUGCCAGCCGCCGCGGUAAUACCGGCGGCUCGAGUGGUGGCCACUAUUACUGGGCUUAAAGCGUUCGUAGCUGGUUUGUUAAGUCUCUGGGGAAAUCUUCCGGCUUAACCGGAAGGCGUCUCAGGGAUACUGGCAGACUAGGGACCGGGAGAGGUGAGAGGUACUCCAGGGGUAGGAGUGAAAUCCUGUAAUCCUUGGGGGACCACCUGUGGCGAAGGCGUCUCACCAGAACGGCUCCGACAGUGAGGGACGAAAGCUGGGGGAGCAAACCGGAUUAGAUACCCGGGUAGUCCCAGCUGUAAACGAUGCGCGUUAGGUGUAUCGGUGACCACGAGUCACCGAGGUGCCGAAGAGAAAUCGUGAAACGUGCCGCCUGGGAAGUACGGUCGCAAGGCUGAAACUUAAAGGAAUUGGCGGGGGAGCAC